UCCGGUUGAUCCUGCCGGACCCGACUGCUAUCAGAGUGGGACUAAGCCAUGCGAGUUAACGCAGCAAUGCGUGGCAUACGGCUCAGUAACACGUAGUCAACAUGCCCAGGGGACGUGGAUAACCUCGGGAAACUGAGGAUAAACCACGAUAGGCCAUGAUUUCUGGAAUGGAUCAUGGCUGAAACCUAUAUGGCCCCUGGAUUGGACUGCGGCCGAUCAGGCUGUUAGUGAGGUAAUGGCCCACCAAACCUGUAACCGGUACGGGCUCUGAGAGGAGGAGCCCGGAGAUGGGCACUGAGACAAGGGCCCAGGCCCUAUGGGGCGCAGCAGGCGCGAAACCUCUGCAAUAGGCGAAAGCUUGACAGGGUUACUCUGAGUGACGUCCGUUAAGGACGUCUUUUGGCACCUCUAAAAAUGGUGCAGAAUAAGGGGUGGGCAAGUCUGGUGUCAGCCGCCGCGGUAAUACCAGCACCCCGAGUGGUCGGGACGAUUAUUGGGCCUAAAGCAUCCGUAGCCGGUUCUGCAAGUCUUCCGUUAAAUCCACCUGCUCAACAGAUGGGCUGCGGAGGAUACUACAGGGCUAGGAGGCGGGAGAGGCAAGCGGUACUCAGUGGGUAGGGGUAAAAUCCUCUGAUCCACUGAAGACCACCAGUGGCGAAGGCGGCUUGCCAGAACGCGCUCGACGGUGAGGGAUGAAAGCUGGGGGAGCAAACCGGAUUAGAUACCCGGGUAGUCCCAGCUGUAAACGAUGCAGACUCGGUGAUGGGUUGGCUUUGAGCCAACCCAGUGCCGCAGGGAAGCCGUUAAGUCUGCCGCCUGGGGAGUACGGUCGCAAGACUGAAACUUAAAGGAAUUGGCGGGGGAGCACCACAAGGGGUGAAGCCUGCGGUUCAAUUGGAGUCAACGCCGGAAAUCUUACCGGGGGCGACAGCAGAGUGAAGGUCAAGCUGAAGACUUUACCAGACAAGCUGAGAGGAGGUGCAUGGCC
RNAcentral lists this ribosomal RNA (988 nucleotides) under uncultured archaeon. RNAcentral's name for it is "bacterial SSU rRNA". It matches the Rfam family "Archaeal small subunit ribosomal RNA", at positions 1 to 999 of the family's 1478-position model. The record is from RNAcentral.